This is a long non-coding RNA of Octopus bimaculoides (California two-spot octopus), 3117 nucleotides long. Lineage: Eukaryota; Metazoa; Mollusca; Cephalopoda; Octopoda; Octopodidae. The record is from RefSeq and is a predicted model, not a curated record.
AGCGACCAGACCUGUGAGAGAUCUGGAAUCGAAGACAACUACCGUCGUUAGAUCAGGCUUGUUUAUAGCUGAAAUAGGGCUCACCGGAAACCCAGAAAAACUCUAUCUCACGUGACCUUAUCACAAAGCCACGAUUGGACGUAAUCCACCCUUAGCAAGCAGAACAUGGGGACAAUUGCCGUGCAAAUAAUAACCAAUCAGGAUGGUGGACAGAAAGGUCCAAGGUAGCUGAAGGCUAGAUGUUAGCAGCUUCGUUAUCAUUUAUGAUUGAAUGCCCGAGGGAGAGGUUUCACUACAAUAGCCUCACACCAGUCUUUGUGUCGAAGAUAAAACAGACGACACAGAAAAGUAAUUGUAGUGAAAGGACUGGAAAAACGGUUGGUCCUAAAGCUGGCACAAAAAUCGCCAUUAAAGAGAAACUGCACGAACAGAAUAACGUCGGGGUAACCAAAAUGUAGUGGAGUCACCAAAAUGUGGUGGAGUAAUGUUGUAUGUUUGUGUUUGCGUGUGAGUAAACAAAGUGAUAACUAUGUUCAACUAUAACAUAUUUUAUUUGCUGCAUUGAACUCUGGUGUUAGUAAAUAUUCUUCACCACUACAUUAAAUUUUGGCAACUUACUUUGAGUUGCUAGGAAAAAUGAAACCAGGGUACAUCUGUGGAGUUGAUGUAUCCGAAGACUAAAUAUGUUCGUGUGUGUAUUUGUUCUUUCAUCUUGCAGUAGUUCUCUCUCUCAUUAGCGUGGCAUGGCAAAUCUCUGUGAUAGUCGCGGAGCACUGGGUCAGUCUGUGGCGAAUCACAGUCUCCCUCUCUCUCUCUCUGUCCUCCCUGCUAAAUUCUCCUAUCUAUAAACAUCAGGGGCUGCUAGAAGGAUGGACAUGCUGCAGCAGGUUUAGUACCUGAGUAGGUCAGUUGCUGUCCAGUUGAACUUCACUUGACAUCUAUGAGGUUAUAAGGUCGAGGGGAGGCUAUCCAUCAUUUUUUUGACAGGACAAAGAAAACCUGAUUUCGCGCCUGUUGCUCACAGUAAAUCUGACGAGGAAGAAUUCUUAGAUUCGGUUUCGAAUCUAAGCUUGGAGAAGGGAAUGUUAGUUUUUACAAAUUUAUAGUGUAUAGCUAAUUCUUAAUUUGAAUAUAUUUACAGACACUCCUAUUGUUGUUUAGUUUAUUUUCUUAUGUUCUAUUAUAAAGCAUAAUUAAAUAAACUAUGCAUUUUCUAUCAAAUAAACAGUAUAAUAUUUUUGAGGAGUAAGAGUUAACUGAUUUUCACUGACUCCUAAAACUCAAAAAUUGUCUUGACUCCAACUCCACAGCCCUAAUGUAAACACAUCAACACUGGAUGUGUCAAAUGGUGGUGGGGAUGGACAAACAUAGACACAGACAUGCACACACACACACACACACACACAUGAUGAGCUUCUUUCAGUUUACAUCUGCCACUCAUAAAGCUUUGGUUGGCCCAAGGCUAUAGUAGAAAACACCCAAGGUGCCACACAGUGGGACUGAACCAGGAACUAUGCGGUUGGGAAGCAAACUCUUACCACACAGCCAUGCCUACAACUAUGUUUUUUAUACCACAUGCACUCAGUCACACUCACUCACACUCACUCACUCUGAUGACUACGCUCACUCUGACGAUCACACUCACUCACACUGUAAUAUACUUCCUAUUCUUGCCAACCAGCAUGGUGCUUGACCAGUGAAAAUAGCAACCAAAGACACCUCUCUUAUAGAUCCAGUCCAUUUCAUUGUAACUACUAGUUACCCUAUAAACUGUUUGUUUAGCUUGUAGUUUUGAUUCACCACUGAAGCAAACCUUUUUCAGGGUGUUUAUCUUUCCCCAAAAUAACUGUGCAUCCCUUUUUUAUUCUAUUUUUAUUUUGUCAUUGACUAUUAUUUGUCAAAGAAUGUGACACCAGUUUGCUUUUCUACAAGAUUUCUUUUGUUAAUGUAAACUAUUAUGUUCAUUAUAAAUAAAUCAUCAGUAUUUUGUUAUUAAACUUUAAAUAAAUGUUAUUUGCUUUUUCAAACUAUCUUUUAUACCCCCACCGGUGAUUUUUAAAAAAAUUUUAUUUAUAUAUAUAUUUUUUUUUUAUUUUUAAUUAUUUUGUUAAUAUACACUCAUGUAUGUGUGAGUUAUGUAUUCUUGAAAUAAAUCUGUAACCACACUUUUUUAUUUUUAUUUUGUCUUUACUAAUCAUACUUCCAUGGGAGGAUUAGUAACAGAAGUAAUUGGAUAAUCUGCAAACAGUACUUUUUCUUUUCCUUCUUUCUCAGUUCAAAUCCUGUGGAAAUUGAUGUUUACCAUCCCUUGGGGAUUAAGAUGUUGUUUUAAAACCAUUUUAAUGUUCAAUCAGUUAUAUAUUUCUUCAAAAAUAGAGGUACAUAAUUGAUUUUUUUCCAAGAUUCUUUGGUUCUGAUGCCUUUCCUCAUUUUUUUUUUUCUGAACCAGAAGUGAUCACCUUGGUCAACACAAAUCUUUUAAUCUUUUACAUCAGUCAUUAGACUGCUGCCAUUUUUCAAAAGCUGUAGUCAAAUGAAUUUAUGUUAGUACUUGUUUUUAAGCCUGAUAUUUAUUUUAUCGAUCUCUUUUGCCGGACCACUAAGUAAUGGAUGUAAACACCAACAUUAGUUGUCAAGCAGUGGUGAGGGUGGACACAGACACAAAGACACACAGACGUGAUGGGCUGCUUUCAGUUUCCAGCUACCAAAUCCUUUCAAAGCUUUGGUUGGUCCGAGGUUAUAGUAUAAAACACUUGUCCAAGACACUUCUCUUAUUCAUCCAGUCCAUUUCAUCGUAACUAGUAGAGUUACCCUAUAAACUGUUCCAUUAACUUGUAGUUUUGAUUCACUUUUGGAGCAAGCCAUUUUUAGAGUGUGUAUCUUUCCCCCAAAAAACUGCAUCCCAUUUUUAUUCUAUUUUUAUUUUGACAUUGACUAUUAUUUGUCAAAGAAUUUAACACCAGUUUGCUUUUCUGCUAGAUUUCUUUUAUUACUGCAAACUAUCAUGUUCAUUAUAAAUAAAUCAUCAGUAUUUUGUUAUUGUAUUUUAAAUAAAUGUUCUUUUUAUCUAUAUAUAUUAUGUAUUCUUGAAAUAAAUUGCUUUACAUCUCCAACCAA